Molecule: long non-coding RNA, 1648 nt
Organism: Myodes glareolus (Bank vole)
Lineage: Eukaryota; Metazoa; Chordata; Mammalia; Rodentia; Cricetidae
Source: RefSeq, a predicted model, not a curated record
UAGUUCCACUAUCUUGAGAGAAGGGGAAAGAUGACAGGGAUGGUAGUCGGGGGAAAGGAGCUUAUUAAUGAAGAUUCUUGGGCACAAAUCUUGGGAAGGAUGCCCGUGUGGUGUAACUGCUCCCCACAAAGUGAUAGAGAAGGUAGCACUGUGCCUGCUUGCGGGAGGGCAGCAUUUGAGGCAAGGUUCAUGAUGGGAGACUGGACUCUUUUUUUUUGAUACAGGGUUUCCCUGUGUACCCCUGACUGUCCUGAAACUCACUCUGUAGGCCUCGAACUCAGAAGUCCUGAUUUCUGUUUCUGCCUCUUGAGUGCUGGGAUUAAAGGCGUGCACCACCACUGCCCAACUGGGAACCUGGACUCUUAAAAGACAACACAGACCAGGGCAUUGGUGAGGAUGGACAUCUUCAGAUGCAAGAAAACCAUGUCCAGGUCCUCAGUUCAGUGCAUCGAACAAUGAAAUGCCAGAGCAGGAAAGCUGGGAAGAGAAUCUUCAGUUUUCCACCUUUCUCUGCAUCCGGGUUGUGCUCCAGUUAGGAGUCUCCCCUGCAAACUGCACCCCCAAUAGGCCGUGCCUGAUCUGCUUCUUCAGUGUGAGUUCCCUCUGAGCCUGACAUUACCGUGACCACACUGAAGAGGUCUGGUUCUGACACUCCAGCAAGGUCCUCACAGUGUGUAGAGGAUCCGGAACAAGAAAUACCAAGCUAGCACGCGGUCUGGAUUUCUCAGAUGUCACAUGAAGAAACACGUGCCCACCCGAGAAAAAUAUGGAAGCUCUCUGUCCAAGAUGGAGCCUGGGGAAGCCUUGAACAACUCACUGCUGCCUCCCCACCUCCUUCUCUGGAGAGAAGAGGGAAGGAUGGGUGUCUAAGGGACUGACGAUUGGACAUAGCUGGUCCUAGCUCCAGUUCCUCCAAGCUACCCUUGGCCUGCCCUGCACCUGCCCUCCUACCUAGAUGGGGCUCUGCCAGGCGGUGCAGAACUUGGCCCCAGGCUCGUUGGGUUCUGAGCUGAUCCUGCACCCCUAGUACAUCUCAGCCAAGGGCUGAGUCACACCCUCAUUCUCUUUUAAUUAUUCAGGACCUGACACACUGCCUGGGAAUACAUCACUCAGAGUACAUGGUGGUGAAGAUUAAAUAUUAGAGGCAAGUCUUUUAAUUAAUUUUUAAUGUGUUCUUUAGAACAAUUCUUCAUACCUAACCACACGCUGAAACAGAGUACUUAAAAGAAAAAUUAAUGUUCAGGGUCUCAGGGGUUUGUGAGAUAGCCCUUAUUUUUUUGGUUACCUCUAAGUUCCACGUCAGAGGGUACCAUUUGUGGCUUGGAAACAAGAUGACAGGUAUCCCAUCUGGGACUGUCCCCGUGUAUAUAUGGUUGCUGCAAUGUAUGUAUUCAUUCCUCAGAGGUUCAGCUUGCGUCGUAAAGCAUUUGCUCACCCUACAUCAAAACAGUCGCUCUCCUUUCCUAGCAGACAUAACUAGUUGAUUACAGCACCUUUUCCAUGCUGAUUCCACACACGUCUUUUCAAAGUGUUCUCUAUAUAACCUUCCAAGCAGCCCACUCUGGACAGCCACCUCAUGUGGUUAAAACAGUUUUGAGAUGAGCCAUGCUUUUUUCUUGAGAAGGAAGCUUAUAUCUCACACACACAC